RNAcentral lists this ribosomal RNA (460 nucleotides) under uncultured bacterium. RNAcentral's name for it is "partial 16S ribosomal RNA". It matches the Rfam family "Bacterial small subunit ribosomal RNA", at positions 338 to 795 of the family's 1533-position model. The record is from RNAcentral.
CCUACGGGAGGCAGCAGUGAGGAAUAUUGGUCAAUGGACGAGAGUCUGAACCAGCCAAGUAGCGUGAAGGAUGACGGCCCUAUGGGUUGUAAACUUCUUUUAUAAAGGAAUAAAACGAGGUACGUGUGCCUCUUUGCAUGUACUUUAUGAAUAAGGAUCGGCUAACUCCGUGCCAGCAGCCGCGGUAAUACGGAGGAUCCGAGCGUUAUCCGGAUUUAUUGGGUUUAAAGGGAGCGUAGAUGGGGUGUUAAGUCAGUUGUGAAAGUUUGCGGCUCAACCGUCAAAUUGCAGUUGAUACUGGCAGGCUUGAGUACAGUUGAGGUAUGCGGAAUUCGUGGUGUAGCGGUGAAAUGCUUAGAUAUCACGAAGAACCCCGAUUGCGAAGGCAGCUUACCGGACUGUAACUGACGUUGAUGCUCGAAAGUGUGGGUAUCAAACAGGAUUAGAUACCCUAGUAGUC